UAAACAUCUGACUUGACAUCUGAUAUGCUGCAGUUGACCUCAACACAGCUCAUCUAACCUUUGGCCCGAAUAAAAGGUGUGAUAACCGAGAUGGGUCCAGUUCUGACUGAGGUUCAUAUGAAGGGACCCCAUGGCUUCCAGAUGUCACAUGAUGGCAAGCAAAGAGAAAGUCCCGUGAUACAUCUGUGGGAAAUGUACUUCACAAGAGUUCAACCAUGAGUAAGCAAAAGUAUAUUUUAACUCUUUAAAUAUAUUAAAUAUAUAUCUUUAAACAUAAUAUAUCUUAAAAAUAUAUAUAUAUAUUAAGCAGCACAACUGUUUCUAACAUUGAUAAUAAAUCAGCAUAUUAGAAUGUUUUUUGAAGGAUC
Molecule: long non-coding RNA, 368 nt
Organism: Cyprinus carpio (common carp)
Lineage: Eukaryota; Metazoa; Chordata; Actinopteri; Cypriniformes; Cyprinidae
Source: Ensembl